CGCGGCGCGCGCUGGACCUGCUGCCUCCAGGCGGAGCUCUCAGCUGCCGGUUGCAGCCACACACACUCGGCUGUCACCCUGGGAGACUGGAGUGACCCCCUGGAUCCCGAUGCUGAGACGCAGAUGGUGUAUCGGCAGCUGCUCCUGGGACGGGACCAGCUCAGG
Molecule: long non-coding RNA, 165 nt
Organism: Myotis brandtii (Brandt's bat)
Lineage: Eukaryota; Metazoa; Chordata; Mammalia; Chiroptera; Vespertilionidae
Exons: 2
Source: RefSeq, a predicted model, not a curated record